UUUUAAAUUUCAUCCUUUUAUUCUGUUAAAAAUUGACUUGAUUGACGAAAUAACCAGAUAAUUUCAUGUGUCAUUUAUGUACUUUAUGCUAACAUACAUAGACCGAUUUUUAACAAUAAAAGUGGAUGGAUCUUUUAAAC
This 140-nucleotide microRNA precursor is filed under the name Gossypium hirsutum (cotton). RNAcentral describes it as "MIR7502 microRNA precursor family". It matches the Rfam family "MIR7502 microRNA precursor family". Lineage: Eukaryota; Viridiplantae; Streptophyta; Magnoliopsida; Malvales; Malvaceae. The record is from Rfam by way of RNAcentral.